GGAAGACACCAGAGCUGUCCCUCUCUCGGCUUGCACUAAGGAGGAGGUCACGUGAGCACACAGUGAGAAGGCGGAGGACCAUCUGCAAGCAGGAAGAGAGCCCUCGCUAGAACCCCCCACGGUGGCAUCUGAUAGUGGACUUCUAGCUUCCAGAACUGAACUCAUAAAUGUCACAUCAGGCUGCCUCUUGGUGAAUUUUUAAUCAACGGGGAGAAUUUCAGCUACAAAUAGACCAAGAAUCAAGAGGCCCACUAUUGAUCGGUCAAAGUGGCACUUAUGAACCUGAGGUUGAAGCAGUUUGGAUAAAAGGAUUCUGGGCUUUCGAUGGCCCCAGAGACAUCUUUUUCCAUCAAGUCCAGGCUUGCUGAUCGGUACAGCUGAGAACAUGUUGAAUUUGAUGUGCCUGUGGAUAUUUGAGUCUGGAACAUUGAAGACAAGUUUGGUCUGGAGAUGUAGACUGGGGAUAUCUCAGCACACAGAUGAUAACUGAAAUGAUGGAGCGGAUGAUAUAAACUGGAGAGAGUCUGGUGUGGGAAGAGUCUUCCCUGAGGUGGCCGAAAGAUGUAAUUCUUACUCCAAAGACUGAAAUAGAGACAAGAGAAGCUGAAGUUACAGGGUUUUGUCAUUGGGAAGACAGUAGAGUGUGUCAUAUCCCAAGAGUGAAGCAAGGACAAACCAAAGAACAACUGGGAAGAUCUGGGAGAAAAAGGGAGAGGAGAGCCUGACGUUUCAAGAACUCAAGGUUCAGUACUAGGUCUUAGAGGAAGACUUCAUUUUAGCUUUGAUGCUCUCCGCUAGGCACAGAGAAACUUAAGCAGAAUGACAAGACCUGCUGUUUGAGUAACUCACGUUCUGACCAGAGAGACAGACAUGUCAGCAAGAGGUUACAAUACAGUGUGCUCAGAUUCUCCGGGACUUGGAGCACUUGUUCCAGAAAGGAAGGCCAGGGAAGUCUUCCAGGAGUAGAUGGCGCCUCUGCUGACCUGAAGGGUGAGGAAAAAGUGUCCAGUUGCAGAAGGUGCAACUGCCUAUAGAACAGCUGCCGCGGCCCACUGAAAGCUUCAAGCCGAGACCUGAGGUGCAUGAACCCUCCUUCUGAUAAGCUUCAGAGCAGAAAUGAUGCAACUGAGUCACAGAGAAGUUAAGUAAUCUGCCUGCCGACACUCGGGUCGAUGCCGCCUCAUUCCAUCACUCGGGCAAUGGAGCCAAAGGCCACGUUCACAACCACUAGGCUGUCCCAGCCCCUUGAUGGUGGUUUAGAGAUUUUUAGCAUUCCUCAGCCACUUGGAAAUAGCAAGAUAGUACAUAAAGAUCAACCACGUGAGCUUUAAUUCAAGAUGGAAAAUGAGAAUCCACUGGAAUCAUGAAGGACAUCCCAGAUCCCAGGAAGGAGAACACUGGCAAACAGCGCCCGAAAUAAAAGUGACUGGCUGAUAAAA
Molecule: long non-coding RNA, 1439 nt
Organism: Homo sapiens (human)
Lineage: Eukaryota; Metazoa; Chordata; Mammalia; Primates; Hominidae
Source: Ensembl